Apis dorsata (giant honeybee) is the source of this 138-nucleotide long non-coding RNA. RefSeq lists it as uncharacterized. The record is from RefSeq and is a predicted model, not a curated record. NCBI's taxonomy places the organism in Eukaryota, Metazoa, Arthropoda, Insecta, Hymenoptera, Apidae. The transcript has 3 exons.
GAAAUAGUUGCAAUCAAACAAGAGAAGAGUCUAAGUAGAACAGAUUAGCUAUGAUCGGACAGGUGUACGUCGUUGACUGGAUAAGUAGAAUAGAAGGAUCGUUGUCAGACGGUAUAGUACAAGAAGAAUAAAGGAGAC